GAUGAACGCUGGCGGCGUGCUUAACACAUGCAAGUCGAACGGAAAGGCCCUGCUUUUGUGGCGUGCUCGAGUGGCGAACGGGUGAGUAACACGUGAGUAACCUGCCCUUGACUUUGGGAUAACUUCAGGAAACUGGGGCUAAUACCGGAUAGGAGAUCCUGCUGCAUGGUGGGGGUUGGAAAGUUUCGGCGGUUGGGGAUGGACUCGAGGGUUAUCAGCUUGUUGGUGGGGUAGUUGCAUACCAAGGGUUUGACGGGUAGGCCACCUGAGAGGGGAGACGGGCUCCUUGCGACUGAGGGACGGACCAGUCUGCAACGUGAGGCAACGGGGGAAAGCAUUACACAGUGGGCCGGCGCCUGAUGCGACAGCGCCGCGUGCGGAAUGACGGCCUUCGGGGUGUGAACCGCUGUCUCCUUAGACGAAGCGUGCGUGACGGUAACGGGUCAAGAAGCACCGGCUAACUACGUG
Molecule: ribosomal RNA, 468 nt
Filed under: uncultured bacterium
Lineage: Bacteria
Description: partial 16S ribosomal RNA
Rfam family: Bacterial small subunit ribosomal RNA
Source: RNAcentral